CAAAGGUGAGCCAGUACAGGAUGGACCCGCGUCUGAUUAGCUAGUUGGUAAGGUAACGGCUUACCAAGGCGACGAUCAGUAGCCGACCUGAGAGGGUGAUCGGCCACAUUGGAACUGAGACACGGUCCAAACUCCUACGGGAGGCAGCAGUGGGGAAUAUUGCACAAUGGGCGAAAGCCUGAUGCAGCAACGCCGCGUGAGUGAUGAAGGCCUUCGGGUCGUAAAACCCUGUCCUCAAGGAAGAUAAUGACGGUACUUGAGGAGGAAGCCCCGGCUAACUACGUGCCAGCAGCCGCGGUAAUACGUAGGGGGCUAGCGUUAUCCGGAUUUACUGGGCGUAAAGGGUGCGUAGGCGGUCUUUCAAGUCAGGAGUGAAAGGCUACGGCUCAACCGUAGUAAGCUCUUGAAACUGGGAGACUUGAGUGCAGGAGAGGAGAGUGGAAUUCCUAGUGUAGCGGUGAAAUGCGUAGAUAUUAGGAGGAACACCAGUUGCGAAGGCGGCUCUCUGGACUGUAACUGACGCUGAGGCACGAAAGCGUGGGGAGCAAACAGGAUUAGAUACCCUGGUAGUCCACGCCGUAAACGAUGAGUACUAGGUGUCGGGG
This 605-nucleotide ribosomal RNA is filed under the name uncultured bacterium. RNAcentral's name for it is "bacterial SSU rRNA". It matches the Rfam family "Bacterial small subunit ribosomal RNA", at positions 202 to 828 of the family's 1533-position model. The record is from RNAcentral.